GUCUAUACGAUAUUAUAUAUUUAGUCUAACCUGCCCAAUGAAUUUUAAAUGGCCGCGGUAUUUUGACCGUGCAAAGGUAGCAUAAUAAUUAGUUUUUUAAUUGAAAGCUUGUAUGAAAGGUUGAACAAAGAGUAAACUGUUUCUAUUUUUAAGUUUAAAGUUUACUUUUAAGUGAAAAGGCUUAAAUAAACUUAAGAGACGAUAAGACCCUAUAAAUCUUUAUAGAUUUUUUUUUAAAAAUUUUUAUUUUGUUUAUUUUAAUUUAUAAAAAUAAUAUAUUAUGUUGGGGUGACAAGAAUAUUUUCAAAAAACUGUUCUAAAUAGACACAAUCAUAUUUGUAGUUUAGUAGUAGACCCUUAAAUUAAGAUUAAAAGUUUAAGUUACUUUAGGGAUAACAGCGUAAUUUUUUUUGAGAGUUCUUAUCGAAAAAAAAGUUUGCGACCUCGAUGUUGAAUUAAAAUUUCUUUAAUGAUGCAGAAGUCAUAAAAGUGAGUCUGUUCGACUUUUAAAAUUUU
RNAcentral lists this ribosomal RNA (516 nucleotides) under Phylladiorhynchus integrus. RNAcentral's name for it is "partial large subunit ribosomal RNA". It matches the Rfam family "Archaeal large subunit ribosomal RNA", at positions 1922 to 2666 of the family's 2987-position model. The record is from RNAcentral. Lineage: Eukaryota; Metazoa; Arthropoda; Malacostraca; Decapoda; Galatheidae.